RNAcentral lists this ribosomal RNA (253 nucleotides) under uncultured prokaryote. RNAcentral's name for it is "partial 16S ribosomal RNA". It matches the Rfam family "Bacterial small subunit ribosomal RNA", at positions 525 to 777 of the family's 1533-position model. The record is from RNAcentral.
ACGUAGGCAGCAAGCGUUGUUCGGAAUUACUGGGCGUAAAGAGUGUGUAGGCGGUGCUCUAAGUUUGGUGUGAAAUCUCCCGGCUUAACCGGGAGGCUGCAUCGAAUACUGGAGUGCUAGAGGAUUGGAGAGGUAAGCGGAAUUCCUGGUGUAGCGGUGAAAUGCGUAGAUAUCAGGAGGAACACCUGAGGCGAAGGCGGGCUACUGGGCCGAUACUGACGCUGAUGCGCGAAAGCCAGGGGAGCAAACGGGA